This 224-nucleotide ribosomal RNA is filed under the name uncultured Lactobacillus sp. Its description in RNAcentral is "partial 16S ribosomal RNA". It matches the Rfam family "Bacterial small subunit ribosomal RNA", at positions 137 to 354 of the family's 1533-position model. Lineage: Bacteria; Bacillati; Bacillota; Bacilli; Lactobacillales; Lactobacillaceae. The record is from RNAcentral.
AUCGGGAUAACACCUGGAAACAGAUGCUAGUACCGGAUAACAACAGAUGAUGCCUAUCAACUGUUUAAAAGAUGGUUCUGCUAUCACUCUUGGAUGGACCUGCGGUGCAUUAGCUAGUUGGUAGGGUAACGGCCUACCAAGGCGAUGAUGCAUAGCCGAGUUGAGAGACUGAUCGGCCACAUUGGGACUGAGACACGGCCCAAACUCCUACGGAGGCAGCAGAC